RNAcentral lists this ribosomal RNA (330 nucleotides) under uncultured Pseudomonadota bacterium. RNAcentral's name for it is "bacterial SSU rRNA". It matches the Rfam family "Bacterial small subunit ribosomal RNA", at positions 30 to 351 of the family's 1533-position model. Lineage: Bacteria; Pseudomonadati; Pseudomonadota. The record is from RNAcentral.
AUUGAACGCUGGCGGCAUGCCUAACACAUGCAAGUCGAACGGCAGCAUGCUCUGUAGCAAUACAGAGUGAUGGCGAGUGGCGGACGGGUGAGUAACGCGUAGGAAUCUGCCUUGAAGUGGGGGAUAACUCAGCGAAAGCUGAGCUAAUACCGCAUAAUCUCUUCGGAGUAAAGCAGGGGAUCUUUAUGACCUUGCGCUUUAAGAUGAGCCUGCGUAAGAUUAGCUAGUUGGUAGGGUAAAGGCCUACCAAGGCGACGAUCUUUAGCUGGUCUGAGAGGACGACCAGCCACAUUGGGACUGAGACACGGCCCAAACUCCUACGGGUGGCAG